Homo sapiens (human) is the source of this 434-nucleotide long non-coding RNA. Ensembl annotates it as MUC5B antisense RNA 1. Its record names the gene MUC5B-AS1. The record is from Ensembl. NCBI's taxonomy places the organism in Eukaryota, Metazoa, Chordata, Mammalia, Primates, Hominidae.
UGGAUCCAGUGGAUGCAGUCGUAGUGGCUGUUGUGGUCAGCUCUGUGAGGAUCCAGUGGACGCAGUCGUAGUGGCUGUUGUGGUCGGCUUUGUGAGGAUCCAGGUCGUCCCCGGAGUUGAGGAGGGCGUGGCCGUGGAGCUGGUGGCUGGGGUACUGGGGCAGUGGCUGUAGUCGUCACAGCAAAGCACACGCACGUUGUAGUUGAAGCACAUGUUGAACCUGCCUGUCUGGUCUUCGUUCUUGCAGGUCAGCCCCGUCUCCAGGCUGCAGGUCAGCACCUGCCCGACCUGGUCGAUGCUUACCUCGGGGUAGUUCUCCGCCCGGCACUCUAUGCUCUUUGGUGCCCAGCACAUCUUGCCCCCAGCAGCCCUGAUGUUUUCAAAAGUUUCCAUGUCCCCGCCUGCAACCCCUGAGGUUGGGAAGUCCACGUCAA